GCCUAAUUGACUUAUCAGGUUCCUCCCCCAGGUGAGGAUUUGUUGAAAUAUCAGAUAAGAAAGGGGAACAAAAUUCUUUGUCAAACGAAUCAUCGAUAGGGCAGUUUAGCCACGCGACAGUUUCAUCAUCUUGAAUCAAAUUAGUCUGAUUUCCAGCAACUCUUAUUGUUGGUUGAUCAUGUUUGUUAAACUGUCUGCAUUCAUUAGGAUCAUAACCUGGCUGCUU
Molecule: unclassified non-coding RNA, 226 nt
Filed under: Hevea brasiliensis (rubber tree)
Lineage: Eukaryota; Viridiplantae; Streptophyta; Magnoliopsida; Malpighiales; Euphorbiaceae
Source: RNAcentral